ACAUUUUAGUCNAACGUGNAGCCACCUUCGGGUGGUGGAAAGUGGCGGACGGGUGAGUAACGCGUGGGAACGUGCCUUUCGGUUCGGGAUAACCCAGGGAAACUUGGGCUAAUACCGGAUACGCCCUCCGGGGGAAAGAUUCAUUGCCGAAAGAUCGGCCCGCGUCGGAUUAGCUAGUUGGUGGGGUAAUUGCCUACCAAGGCGACGAUCCGUAGCUGGUCUGAGAGGAUGAUCAGCCACACUGGGACUGAGACACGGCCCAGACUCCUACGGGAGGCAGCAGUGGGGAAUAUUGGACAAUGGGCGCAAGCCUGAUCCAGCCAUGCCGCGUGGGUGAAGAAGGCCCUAGGGUUGUAAAUCCCUUUCAGCGGGGAAGAUAAUGACGGUACCCGCAGAAGAAGCCCCGGCUAACUCCGUGCCAGCAGCCGCGGUAAUACGGAGGGGGCUAGCGUUGUUCGGAAUUACUGGGCGUAAA
RNAcentral lists this ribosomal RNA (475 nucleotides) under uncultured Alphaproteobacteria bacterium. RNAcentral describes it as "bacterial SSU rRNA". It matches the Rfam family "Bacterial small subunit ribosomal RNA", at positions 53 to 564 of the family's 1533-position model. Lineage: Bacteria; Pseudomonadati; Pseudomonadota; Alphaproteobacteria. The record is from RNAcentral.